CAUUGAUACUGUUGUUCUUGAGUUCGGCUGAGGUAGGCGGAAUGAGUAAUGUAGCGGUGAAAUGCUUAGAUAUUACUCAGAACACCGAUUGCGUAGGCAGCUUACCAAACCGACACUGACGCUGAGGCACGAAAGCGUGGGGAGCGAACAGGAUUAGAUACCCUGGUAGUCCACGCCGUAAACGUUGAUUACUCGUUGUUGGCAAUACAUCGUCAGCGACUGAGCGAAAGCAUUAAGUAAUCCACCUGGGGAGUACGUCAGCAAUGAUGAAACUCAAAGGAAUUGACGGGGGCCCGCACAAGCGGAGGAACAUGUGGUUUAAUUCGAUGAUACGCGAGGAACCUUACCUGGGCUUAAAUGUAGAGUGCAUAGAGUGGAAACAUUCUUUUCCUUCGGGACUCUUUACAAGGUGCUGCAUGGUUGUCGUCAGCUCGUGCCGUGAGGUGUCGGGUUAAGUCCCAUAACGAGCGCAACCCUCAUUGCCAGUUGCCAUCACAUCAUGGUGGGGACUCUGGUGAAACUGCCGGUGCAAACCGUGAGGAAGGUGAGGAUGACGUCAAAUCAGCACGGCCCUUAUGUCCAGGGCUACACACGUGUUACAAUGGUCGGUACAACGGGCAGCUACACAGCGAUGUGGUGCUAAUCCUAAAAACCGAUCUUAGUUCGGAUCGGAGUCUGCAACUCGACUCCGUGAAGCUGGAUUCGC
RNAcentral lists this ribosomal RNA (706 nucleotides) under uncultured bacterium. RNAcentral describes it as "bacterial SSU rRNA". It matches the Rfam family "Bacterial small subunit ribosomal RNA", at positions 625 to 1335 of the family's 1533-position model. The record is from RNAcentral.